This 493-nucleotide ribosomal RNA is filed under the name uncultured bacterium. RNAcentral's name for it is "partial 16S ribosomal RNA". It matches the Rfam family "Bacterial small subunit ribosomal RNA", at positions 30 to 507 of the family's 1533-position model. The record is from RNAcentral.
AUUGAACGCUGGCGGCAUGCUUUACACAUGCAAGUCGAGCGGCAACGAGGAGAAGCUUGCUUCUCUGUCGGCGAGUGGCGAACGGGUGAGUAUAGCAUCGGAACGUGCCAAGUAGUGGGGGAUAACCAAACGAAAGUUUGGCUAAUACCGCGUAAGCUCCAAGGAGGAAAGUAGGGGACCUAAAUAAGGCCUUACGCUAUUUGAUCGGCCGAUGUCGGAUUAGCUAGUUGGUGGGGUAAUGGCUCACCAAGGCAAUGAUCCGUAGCGGGUCUGAGAGGACGAUCCGCCACACUGGGACUGAGACACGGCCCAGACUCCUACGGGAGGCAGCAGUGGGGAAUUUUGGACAAUGGGGGAAACCCUGAUCCAGCCAUGCCGCGUGUAUGAAGAAGGCCUUAGGGUUGUAAAGUACUUUUGUUAGGGAAGAAAAGCUAGUUUUUAAUAAAAAUUAGUGAUGACGGUACCUAAAGAAUAAGCACCGGCUAACUACGUG